AGAGUUUGAUCAUGGCUCAGAACAAACGCUGGCGGCGUGCCUAAUACAUGCAAGUCGAACGAGGUAGCAAUACCUAGUGGCGCACGGGUGAGUAACACGUGGAUAAUCUACCUUUGAGUGGGGAAUAACCCUCCGAAAGGAGGGCUAAUACCGCAUAAGACCACAGAUACUUCGGUAUCAGGGGUCAAAGGAGACCUCUAUUUAUAAGUUUUCGCUUAAAGAUGAGUCCGCGCUCGAUUAGUUAGUUGGUAGGGUAAGAGCCUACCAAGACAAUGAUCGAUAGCUGGUCUGAGAGGAUGACCAGCCACACUGGAACUGAGACACGGUCCAGACUCCUACGGGAGGCAGCAGUAGGGAAUAUUGCACAAUGGAGGAAACUCUGAUGCAGCGACGCCGCGUGAGUGAUGAAGGCCUUCGGGUCGUAAAGCUCUGUUGUACGGGAAGAAAUGUAUACGGCUAACAUCCGUAUACUUUGACGGUACCGUAUAAGAAAGGACCGGCUAACUUCGUGCCAGCAGCCGCGGUAAGACGAGGGGUCCUAGCGUUGUUCGGAAUCACUGGGCGUAAAGCGCAUGUAGGCGGCUUUUCAAGUCAGGUGUGAAAGCCCACGGCUUAACCGUGGAAGUGCAUUUGAAACUGUAAAGCUUGAGUAUGGGAGAGGAUGGUAGAAUUCCUGGUGUAGUGGUGAAAUACGUAGAUAUCAGGAGGAAUACCGGUGGCGAAGGCGGCCAUCUGGCCUAAUACUGACGCUGAGAUGCGAAAGUGCGGGGAUCAAACAGGAUUAGAUACCCUAGUAGUCC
RNAcentral lists this ribosomal RNA (800 nucleotides) under uncultured bacterium. Its description in RNAcentral is "bacterial SSU rRNA". It matches the Rfam family "Bacterial small subunit ribosomal RNA", at positions 8 to 796 of the family's 1533-position model. The record is from RNAcentral.